GGUAAUACGUAUGUUCCAAGCGUUAUCCGGAUUUAUUGGGCGUAAAGCGAGCGCAGACGGUUAUUUAAGUCUGAAGUGAAAGCCCUCAGCUCAACUGAGGAAUGGCUUUGGAAACUGGAUGACUUGAGUGCAGUAGAGGAAAGUGGAACUCCAUGUGUAGCGGUGAAAUGCGUAGAUAUAUGGAAGAACACCAGUGGCGAAGGCGGCUUUCUGGACUGUAACUGACGUUGAGGCUCGAAAGUGUGGGUAGCAAACAGGAUUAGAUACCCUGGUAGUCCACACCGUAAACGAUGAGUGCUAGAUGUUCGAGGGUUUCCGCCCUUGAGUGUCGCAGCUAACGCAUUAAGCACUCCGCCUGGGGGAGUACGACCGCAAGGUUGAAACUCAAAGGAAUUGACGGGGACCCGCACAAGCGGUGGAGCAUGUGGGUUUAAUUCGAAGCAACGCGAAGAACCUUACCAGGUCUUGACAUCCCUUGCUAAUCCUAGAAAAUAGGACGUUCCCUUCGGGG
This 511-nucleotide ribosomal RNA is filed under the name Weissella paramesenteroides. Its description in RNAcentral is "bacterial SSU rRNA". It matches the Rfam family "Bacterial small subunit ribosomal RNA", at positions 519 to 1025 of the family's 1533-position model. Lineage: Bacteria; Bacillati; Bacillota; Bacilli; Lactobacillales; Lactobacillaceae. The record is from RNAcentral.